CGCUCCUGCACCGCGCCUCGGCGAGCACGCAGCGGCGAGAGAGCCACGGCGAGCCGGAGCUGCGCCUCAUGCACCGCAUCUCCAUCAAGGGGGGAGGCACGCCGCCCUUCUACAUGGCG
RNAcentral lists this non-coding RNA (119 nucleotides) under Emiliania huxleyi. The record is from RNAcentral. Lineage: Eukaryota; Haptophyta; Isochrysidales; Noelaerhabdaceae.